UACGAAGGGGGCUAGCGUUGUUCGGAAUUACCGGGCGUAAAGGGCGCGUAGGCGGUGUGUCAAGUCAGGCGUGAAAGCCCCGGGCUCAACCUGGGAACCGCGCUUGAGACUGGCACGCUAGAGUUCGGGAGAGGAUGGUGGAAUUCCCAGUGUAGAGGUGAAAUUCGUAGAUAUUGGGAAGAACACCGAUGGCGAAGGCAGCCAUCUGGACCGACACUGACGCUGAGGCGCGAAAGCGUGGGGAGCAAACAGG
RNAcentral lists this ribosomal RNA (253 nucleotides) under uncultured bacterium. RNAcentral describes it as "partial 16S ribosomal RNA". It matches the Rfam family "Bacterial small subunit ribosomal RNA", at positions 524 to 776 of the family's 1533-position model. The record is from RNAcentral.